AUUGAACGCUGGCGGCAUGCCUAACACAUGCAAGUCGAACGGCAGCACGGUCCAGUUUACUGGAUGGGUGGCGAGUGGCGGACGGGUGAGUAACGCGUAGGAAUAUGCCUUGAAGAGGGGGAUAACUUGGGGAAACUCAAGCUAAUACCGCAUAAUCUCUUAGGAGGAAAGCUGGGGACCUUCGGGCCUGGCGCUUUAAGAUUAGCCUGCGUACGAUUAGCUAGUUGGUGGGGUAAGGGCCUACCAAGGCGACGAUCGUUAGCUGGUCUGAGAGGAUGGCCAGCCACACUGGAACUGAGACACGGUCCAGACUCCUACGGGAGGCAGCAGUGGGGAAUAUUGGACAAUGGGGGGAACCCUGAUCCAGCAAUGCCGCGUGUGUGAAGAAGGCCUGAGGGUUGUAAAGCACUUUCAGUGGGGAGGAGGGUUGACAGGUUAAGAGCCUAGUGGCUUGACGGUACCAGGGGAGGAAGCACCGGCUAACUUCGUGCCAGCAGCCGCGGUAA
This 506-nucleotide ribosomal RNA is filed under the name uncultured bacterium. Its description in RNAcentral is "partial 16S ribosomal RNA". It matches the Rfam family "Bacterial small subunit ribosomal RNA", at positions 29 to 523 of the family's 1533-position model. The record is from RNAcentral.